UCGGGAAUUUUGGGCAAUGGGGGAAACCCUGACCCAGCAACGCCGCGUGAAGGAUGAAGUAUUUCGGUAUGUAAACUUCGAAAGAAUAGGAAGAAUAAAUGACGGUACUAUUUUAUAAGGUCCGGCUAACUACGUGCCAGCAGCCGCGGUAAUACGUAGGGACCAAGCGUUGUUCGGAUUUACUGGGCGUAAAGGGCGCGUAGGCGGCAUGACAAGUCACUUGUGAAAUCUCUGGGCUUAACCCAGAACGGCCAAGUGAUACUGUCGCGCUAGAGUGCAGAAGGGGCAAUCGGAAUUCUUGGUGUAGCGGUGAAAUGCGUAGAUAUCAAGAGGAACACCUGAGGUGAAGACGGGUUGCUGGGCUGACACUGACGCUGAGGCGCGAAAGCCAGGGGAGCAAACGGGAUUAGAUACCCCAGUAGUCCCUGAGCGGGCUGGCAAGGCGCAU
This 448-nucleotide ribosomal RNA is filed under the name uncultured bacterium. RNAcentral describes it as "bacterial SSU rRNA". It matches the Rfam family "Bacterial small subunit ribosomal RNA", at positions 355 to 825 of the family's 1533-position model. The record is from RNAcentral.